Molecule: transfer RNA, 88 nt
Filed under: Clostridiales bacterium
Lineage: Bacteria; Bacillati; Bacillota; Clostridia; Eubacteriales
Description: tRNA-Ser
Rfam family: tRNA
About the family: Transfer RNA (tRNA) molecules are approximately 80 nucleotides in length. Their secondary structure includes four short double-helical elements and three loops (D, anti-codon, and T loops).
Source: RNAcentral
GGAGAGUUGGCAGAGCGGUCGAUCGCGGCGGUCUUGAAAACCGUUUUAGUGUAAGCUAACUGGGGUUCGAAUCCCUAACUCUCCGCCA